This 340-nucleotide ribosomal RNA is filed under the name Bacillus pumilus. RNAcentral describes it as "bacterial SSU rRNA". It matches the Rfam family "Bacterial small subunit ribosomal RNA", at positions 1158 to 1496 of the family's 1533-position model. Lineage: Bacteria; Bacillati; Bacillota; Bacilli; Caryophanales; Bacillaceae. The record is from RNAcentral.
UUUUACUGGAGGAAGGUGGGGAUGACGUCAAAUCAUCAUGCCCCUUAUGACCUGGGCUACACACGUGCUACAAUGGACAGAACAAAGGGCUGCGAGACCGCAAGGUUUAGCCAAUCCCAUAAAUCUGUUCUCAGUUCGGAUCGCAGUCUGCAACUCGACUGCGUGAAGCUGGAAUCGCUAGUAAUCGCGGAUCAGCAUGCCGCGGUGAAUACGUUCCCGGGCCUUGUACACACCGCCCGUCACACCACGAGAGUUUGCAACACCCGAAGUCGGUGAGGUAACCUUUAUGGAGCCAGCCGCCGAAGGUGGGGCAGAUGAUUGGGGUGAAGUCGAAGCAAGU